Cebus imitator (Panamanian white-faced capuchin) is the source of this 1035-nucleotide long non-coding RNA. RefSeq lists it as uncharacterized. The transcript is spliced from 3 exons. The record is from RefSeq and is a predicted model, not a curated record. NCBI's taxonomy places the organism in Eukaryota, Metazoa, Chordata, Mammalia, Primates, Cebidae.
UGUAGCCACAUCAGUUUCUGAUUAGUCUUACAAUUUAAGUGGGGAAGUGACUUUGGAAGAGACAUGUGUGUGCUGUCAGCAGAUCGGGGAGGGGAUCGAGAGAGAUGGAGGGAGGCUGCUGUAACACCUUUUCUGGUUGGGAUUCUGAAUGAAUAUGAAAGGCAUGGCACCUCUCUGUGGAAGGCUACACCAUGACACUACAGAGUACAGACUGUGAGUUGUGUCACUGUGCUCAAAUGAAGCCACUGUCCCAUCAAAUGAGAGGACACAUAAACUUCCAGCAAGAAAAAAUAAGAUAAUCUGAUACAUUUCAGUAUCAAAAAGAUUACCAUCAGACACUCUAUAAGGUGACACAACAAUCAAACAGCACUGGAGGUCUAGAUUGAUCAUAUCUCAGGACAAUUAUAAUCUAUUCCCAAGCCCAGGCUGCAAUACAACUAAAAGGUGGACUAAGAACACACAAUAAUUCUCUGUCCCUGUGUUUGACAACACUGGAAACAGGCAUAUUUCCCUCUCUCUGAGCUUAACAACUCUAGGAUGAUGGAUUUUACCUCUUUCUUUGCUAAGCAAUGCUGACAAUAAACAAAAAUAAUUUAGCUGCUUGCUCUAGGAAAUACCUGCUUCUGGAAGAUAAGCCUGGGAACAAACUAAACAGCUUACUUAUCAUGAAUAACACUUGACUCAUCCAGAAUUACUUCAAGACCCUCUGCACUGUGACCAUCAAUCCAAAGCUAUCAUGGCAUAAUCUCUGUUCAAUCCCGAAUAGUUUCUAUCUUGUAAGACUCUCCUUAAAUCCAGUCACCCCUGACCCCCAAACCAUAUAUAUUUCUAUUUUGAGACACUACCAAGACUGUCUCCUUUACUGCAGUAAAUCUAAUAAGCUGAGCUUUUCUUGAUCAAUAGACUUUUCUGAUGAUCUUUGGCGAAUCAAUGGUUGACUCUGUAAAGUACUUUAUUACAAGACUAAUUGUAUUUAACUUUCUUAAAAACCUGUUUUUUGUCUUUUUAUUUAUUCUCCCAAGAAAUAUUUAUUGA